UAAGGAAUAUUGGACAAUGGAUGCAACUCUGAUCCAGCCAUGCCGCGUGAAGGAAUAAGGCCCUAUGGGUUGUAAACUUCUUUUAGACGGGACAAAACCCCUUUACGUGUAAAGGGUUGAUGGUACUGUCAGAAUAAGCAUCGGCUAACUUCGUGCCAGCAGCCGCGGUAAUACGAAGGAUGCAAGCGUUAUCCGGAAUUAUUGGGUUUAAAGGGUGCGUAGGCGGACUAAUAAGUCAGUGGUGAAAGCCUGCAGCUUAACUGCAGAAUUGCCAUUGAUACUGUUAGUCUUGAGUACAGUUGAGGUAGGCGGAAUGUGUCAUGUAGCGGUGAAAUGCUUAGAUAUGACACAGAACACCGAUUGCGAAGGCAGCUUGCUAAGCUGUAACUGACGCUGAGGCACGAAAGCGUGGGGAGCAAACA
RNAcentral lists this ribosomal RNA (422 nucleotides) under uncultured bacterium. Its description in RNAcentral is "bacterial SSU rRNA". It matches the Rfam family "Bacterial small subunit ribosomal RNA", at positions 355 to 774 of the family's 1533-position model. The record is from RNAcentral.